RNAcentral lists this non-coding RNA (263 nucleotides) under Burkholderia glumae. Lineage: Bacteria; Pseudomonadati; Pseudomonadota; Betaproteobacteria; Burkholderiales; Burkholderiaceae. The record is from RNAcentral.
UACACUCGCAGCCGUUUUGGUGCUCGCGUGCGGAUUCCUGCGCACGCAGUUGAACGGGAAACAGGGCAUCGGGCCGCGCCGCGGCCGCGAUCAACCUGUGCUGCCCCCGCAACGGUAAGCGAAUGCAUCGCUCAGGCGAUGCGAGGCCCGCUUCACCGCGCGUGCGAGCCACGCGCGGCCAGGCCACUGGAUGCCGCCGGCGUCCGGGAAGGCGAAGCGGUGCGAUCGCCAGCCCGGAUACCGGCCAGAACGGUGGAACCGCC